AUAAUACUCCCUUCAUCCAGAAUUACUUGUCAUCAAAAUGGAUGAAUAUGGAUGUAUCUAGACUAAAAAACAUCUAGAUACAUCCAUUUCAAUGACAAGUAUUUUCGGACGGAGGGAGUACUAG
Non-coding RNA from Triticum aestivum (bread wheat), 124 nucleotides. The record is from Rfam. Lineage: Eukaryota; Viridiplantae; Streptophyta; Magnoliopsida; Poales; Poaceae.